AUUGAACGCUGGCGGUAUGCUUAACACAUGCAAGUCGAACGGUAACAGCAUCUAGCUUGCUAGAUGGCUGACGAGUGGCGGACGGGUGAGUAACGCGUAGGGAUCUGUCUAGAAGAUUGGGACAACACGGGGAAACUCGUGCUAAUACCGAAUACGCUCUACGGAGGAAAGGCGGGAUUUAUCCUGUCGCUUUUGGGUGAACCUGCGUUGGAUUAGCUUGUUGGUGGGGUAAUGGCCUACCAAGGCAUCGAUCCAUAGCUGUUCUGAGAGGAAGAUCAGCCACACUGGGACUGAGACACGGCCCAGACUCCU
This 312-nucleotide ribosomal RNA is filed under the name uncultured bacterium. RNAcentral describes it as "bacterial SSU rRNA". It matches the Rfam family "Bacterial small subunit ribosomal RNA", at positions 30 to 340 of the family's 1533-position model. The record is from RNAcentral.